RNAcentral lists this ribosomal RNA (505 nucleotides) under uncultured bacterium. RNAcentral's name for it is "partial 16S ribosomal RNA". It matches the Rfam family "Bacterial small subunit ribosomal RNA", at positions 28 to 507 of the family's 1533-position model. The record is from RNAcentral.
GACGAACGCUGGCGGCGUGCCUAAUACAUGCAAGUAGAACGCACAGUUUAUACCGUAGCUUGCUACACCAUAGACUGUGAGUUGCGAACGGGUGAGUAACGCGUAGGUAACCUGCCUGGUAGCGGGGGAUAACUAUUGGAAACGAUAGCUAAUACCGCAUAAUAUUAAUUAUUGCAUGAUAAUUAAUUGAAAGGUGCAAUUGCACCACUACCAGAUGGACCUGCGUUGUAUUAGCUAGUAGGUGAGGUAACGGCUCACCUAGGCGACGAUACAUAGCCGACCUGAGAGGGUGCUCGGCCACCCUGGGACUGAGACACGGCCCAGACUCCUACGGGAGGCAGCAGUAGGGAAUCUUCGGCAAUGGACGAAAGUCUGACCGAGCAACGCCGCGUGAGUGAAGAAGGUUUUCGGAUCGUAAAGCUCUGUUGUAAGAGAAGAACGGGUGUGAGAGUGGAAAGUUCACACUGUGACGGUAUCUUACCAGAAAGGGACGGCUAACUACGUG